This 344-nucleotide ribosomal RNA is filed under the name uncultured eukaryote. RNAcentral's name for it is "SSU rRNA". It matches the Rfam family "Eukaryotic small subunit ribosomal RNA", at positions 567 to 942 of the family's 1831-position model. The record is from RNAcentral.
CCAGCAGCCGCGGUAAUUCCAGCUCCAAUAGCGUAUAUUAAAGUUGUUGCAGUUAAAGCGUCCGUAGUUGAUAUUUGAUUGAUUCGCUCCAUUUUGACAGCUUUAUAGUUGUUUUGGUGUGUAAUUAAUCCUGAUUACGGUUUCCGUUAAUCAAUGUUACUUUGAGUAAAUUGGAGUGCUCCAAGCAAGCUUUACGCUUGAACAUCUCAGCAUGGAAUAACAAGAUAGGACCAUUGUCUCACUUGUUGGUUCGUGGACUUUGUGUAAUGAUUGAUAAGGACAUUCGGGGGCAUUUGUACUUGCUGGAGAGAGGUGAAAUUCUAAGACCCAGCAAAGACAAACAA